Molecule: ribosomal RNA, 497 nt
Filed under: uncultured bacterium
Lineage: Bacteria
Description: partial 16S ribosomal RNA
Rfam family: Bacterial small subunit ribosomal RNA
Source: RNAcentral
GAUGAACGCUGGCGGCGUGCCUAAUACAUGCAAGUCGAGCGAACAGACGAGGAGCUUGCUCCUCUGACGUUAGCGGCGGACGGGUGAGUAACACGUGGAUAACCUACCUAUAAGACUGGGAUAACUUCGGGAAACCGGAGCUAAUACCGGACAAUAUAUUGAACCGCAUGGUUCAAUAGUGAAAGACGGUUUUGCUGUCACUUAUAGAUGGAUCCGCGCCGCAUUAGCUAGUUGGUAAGGUAACGGCUUACCAAGGCGACGAUGCGUAGCCGACCUGAGAGGGUGAUCGGCCACACUGGAACUGAGACACGGUCCAGACUCCUACGGGAGGCAGCAGUAGGGAAUCUUCCGCAAUGGGCGAAAGCCUGACGGAGCAACGCCGCGUGAGUGAUGAAGGUCUUCGGAUCGUAAAACUCUGUUAUUAGGGAAGAACAAAUGUGUAAGUAACUAUGCACGUCUUGACGGUACCUAAUCAGAAAGCCACGGCUAACUACGUG